GAGUAACUAUGACUCUCUUAAGGUAGCCAAAUGCCUCGUCAUCAUACAAAAAGGUCUCGGGAUUCACGUCCCGGGAUCAGGUCGCCACGGUCGCCAUGGUCGCCAUACGGAAGCAUCGUGUUCAGAAAACCACUUCCGAGAGGGAGGUUCCGGGCUUCCCCCGUAUCCUUUUUUUCGGUUGAGGAGAUCAAAGCCAAAGUACUCGGAGUGUUCUUGCCUGCGUCGACGGGGUAGCUACCUGUUGCUGUGGGUCCAUACACUACGGGGAAUGGCCGUACCAACUGCUCGCCAGGUCGCCAUGGUCGUCAUACGGAAGCAGCGUGUUCACAAAACCACUUCCGAGAGGGAGGUUCCGGGGAUCCCCCGUAUCCUUUUUUUCGGUUGAGGUGAUCCAGCCAAAGUACCUUCGGGUGUUCUUGCCUGCACCGAUGGGGUAGCUCCCUGUCACCGCGGGUCCAUACACUCGGGGCGAAUGGCCGCACCAAAUUGCCCGGAGGACUCUUACGAGUAACAAUGGGCAGCCAACCAAUAUCCCGGGUAGCCCCGGGGUUGCGGAGGUUCAGAGACUAAAAGGUGUAACGGGUUAUCCCGGAGGAGUCAUAGUCCGUCGCCAGGUCCCCGAAGAGUUGUGAGCGAGUGGCUUGUAAGUCAUCAUGUCCCGGGAUAACCUCGGGAUAUCUUGUCUAAGCAUUGGCCAGAGGCUCCGAAUGCUCGGUAGGGUUCCGCCACCAGACGUUAAUUUGUGACGCGCAUGAAUGGAUUAAUGAGAUUCCCACUGUCCCUACCUACUAUCUAGCGAAACCACAGCCAAGGGAACGGGCUUGGCACAAUUAGCGGGGAAAGAAGACCCUGUUGAGCUUGACUCUAGGCACAGAAGCGAGGUGAUUCUAAAGGUGUAGCAUAGGUGGGAGGGCCUGGCCCGACCUUGAAAUACCACCACUUUCGACAUCGCUUUGCUAAUGCUGUAACGAACGAACGGCCCCCGGGCCCGUCGCCCGCAAGGGUGGCACCCGGUAAGGUCAUAUUCUAGCGCUUUCCUAGUCGGAUACGAUGGCUUGGCUCCUCUGGGUGAGUACUCUGGGACCGCAAACUGGGCUUCCGGGUCUGGUGCGCGUUGUUUCCGGGGGAACCAGGGAUGGUUGGGCUGUCCUCUGUCUGGCGAAUCGGGUACGUAAGCCGUGUAGCAGACCAUCUGUGUUGGGGAGUUUGGCUGGGGCGGAAAACUGCUACACGGCAACGGCAGUCUCCUAAGGUCCACUCAGAGACGACAGAAACGUCUCGUAGAGCAUAAAGGCAAAAGUGGGCUUAACUCGCAUUUUCAGUAGUAAUGUGAAGCAGGAAAUUGAGGCUUAACGAUCCUUAGCAGCGGGUGCCAGCCCAUGCUUGAGGUGAGAGAAAAGUUACCACAGGGAUUGAUCAAACGGUGGCUUUGGGGAAGGCGUGGUGACGGUCGUUAGUACGGGGGGGUGCUGCAACAUCCCUCCCGAAACCAUCCGGUACCCAAUGGGGCAUAAGUACGGAACGCUGCAGUAAGUUCCCGAACAUCCUCGUUACUUCCUUACGGUUCGUUCACUAGUAGGAUUUCCCUCCCGGGUUAUCUGAGGGCGUCUGAAUCAGGGUUCCAUACGGUGCGUUCGGCUUGGGGAAACUUGUUAGAUUUGACGGUAAUACGGAAGGUUUAGGUACCAUCCUGAGCUCGAAGGUCCAACUCGUAAAAUCUCGCCGGGUUUCGUGCAUAGUCAGCUGGGGGCGAGGCGCAGGUUGCCCUCCGGCAAGGCGACACACCUGGAUGCUGGGAAGACCCAUCCCAAACAGUAUCGGUACCAAGCGUUCUCUGGUGACACCAGGGCGUGGAGUGGCCAUCCCCUCUUCGGAGGCCGGUGGUUACGGGUAAUAAUCUGAUGCUGGGGUUCACUAGCAGGCGACAAGGUCAACCCAAGGGGCUAACAGUGUGGUUGAGCGGGUUUUCCCGCCUUCCCGAACAUUUGCCCUAUGGUAAUGGUGACUGAGCGUCUCAACGACUGGUAAGGUGUGGGCAUUGUUGGGUUUCAAGCUAUCCCGGGAUAACCUCGGGUAGCGAUGGGAUCUGGUGGUGCUUAAGGAACAGUCUACUCCCACCCGCAAGGGUGCCCGGGCCACCAACCCCGACUUUCUUGGGAUCCAUCACUGGGUCCCGGGAUAUUCGGGUAACCCACGACUGCCGGGUUAGGUUCAGGGGCGGAGCAUCUCGGGAGACACCAUAGCCGUUUGAGUAGGGUCUGUACGGGGAAUUUUCACUCCAAACCACAAAGAUCCGAAAGGUUACGGGAUAUCCCGGGGUUAACUCGCGUGGUAUUGGGAACUGGCUUGUGGCCGCCAAGCGUUCAUAGCGACGUGGC
Molecule: ribosomal RNA, 2378 nt
Filed under: Diderma microcarpum
Lineage: Eukaryota; Evosea; Eumycetozoa; Physariida; Didymiaceae
Description: partial 28S ribosomal RNA
Rfam family: Eukaryotic large subunit ribosomal RNA (bases 1-1595)
Source: RNAcentral